RNAcentral lists this long non-coding RNA (200 nucleotides) under Carica papaya (papaya). RNAcentral's name for it is "long non-coding RNA (CPAP_LNC012467)". The record is from RNAcentral. Lineage: Eukaryota; Viridiplantae; Streptophyta; Magnoliopsida; Brassicales; Caricaceae.
GUCAAAAUUUGAAUAACAUCCCUUACACCAAAACCAAAAACGUGCUCACAAAAUAUAAAAGAUCAAACUACCUAAGGGAGAAAACUUGAAAGUAAAAACUACGAAUGUGACUAUGGAGUCUUUAGGCGUCCCCUUCGUCGUCUUCCUGCGGAACCGGCUCGGGAACGAUGUCCUCUUGAUCUGAAAUGAUUAAAUAAGGA